Molecule: signal recognition particle RNA, 99 nt
Filed under: Clostridia bacterium
Lineage: Bacteria; Bacillati; Bacillota; Clostridia
Also listed under: 1 other name
Description: signal recognition particle sRNA small type
Rfam family: Bacterial small signal recognition particle RNA
About the family: The signal recognition particle (SRP) is a universally conserved ribonucleoprotein involved in the co-translational targeting of proteins to membranes. Archaeal SRP consists of a 7S RNA and homologues of the eukaryotic SRP19 and SRP54 proteins.
Source: RNAcentral
GUGUGGGUCCUGUGCGACGGGGCGCCGUGAACCAUGUCAGGCGGGGAAUCGAGCAGCAUUAAGCGGUUAGCGCUGUGCGCCACAGUCCGCCUGCAUGCC